RNAcentral lists this ribosomal RNA (664 nucleotides) under uncultured cyanobacterium. RNAcentral's name for it is "bacterial SSU rRNA". It matches the Rfam family "Bacterial small subunit ribosomal RNA", at positions 157 to 849 of the family's 1533-position model. The record is from RNAcentral. Lineage: Bacteria; Bacillati; Cyanobacteriota.
CGGUCGCUAAUACCCCAUAUGCCUCCGGGUGAAAAGUAAUUCGCCUGAAGAUGAGUUCGCGUCAGAUUAGCUAGUUGGUGGGGUAAGAGCCUACCAAGGCGACGAUCUGUAGCUGGUCUGAAGAGGAUGAUCAGCCACACUGGGACUGGAGACACGGCCCAGACUCCUACGGGAGGCAGCAGUGGGGAAUUUUCCGCAAUGGGCGCAAAGCCUGACGGAGCAAGACCGCGUGGGGGAUGACGGCCUAAUGGUUUGUAAACCCCUUUUCUCUGGGAAGAAGACUGACGGUACCAGAGGAAUCAGCCUCGGCUAACUCCGUGCCAGCAGCCGCGGUAAUACGGAGGAGGCAAGCGUUAUCCGGAAUUAUUGGGCGUAAAGCGUCCGUAGGUGGUUAUUCAAGUCUGCUGUCAAAGCGUGGGGCUUAACUCCAUAGAGGCAGAGGAAACUGAGUGACUAGAGUGCGGUAGGGGUCGAGGGAAUUCCCAGUGUAGCGGUGAAAUGCGUAGAUAUUGGGAAGAACACCAGUGGCGAAAGCGCUCGGCUGGGCCUGCACUGACACUGAGGGACGAAAGCUAGGGGAGCGAAAGGGAUUAGAUACNCCUGUAGUCCUAGCCGUAAACGAUGGAUACUAGGUGUUGCUCGUCAUCGACCCGAGCAGUGCCGU